UACAGAGGUGGCGAGCGUUGUUCGGAUUUACUGGGCGUAAAGGGUGCGUAGGCGGUCCUGUGUGUUGGAUGUGAAAUCCCAUGGCUUAACCAUGGAAAGGCAUCCAAAACUGCGGGACUAGAGUACAGGAGAGGAGAGUGGAAUUCUUGGUGUAGCGGUGAAAUGCGCAGAUAUCAAGAGGAACACCGGUGGCGAAGGCGGCUCUCUGGAAUGAUACUGACGCUGAGGCACGAAAGCCGGGGGAGCAAAAAGG
RNAcentral lists this ribosomal RNA (253 nucleotides) under uncultured bacterium. RNAcentral's name for it is "partial 16S ribosomal RNA". It matches the Rfam family "Bacterial small subunit ribosomal RNA", at positions 524 to 776 of the family's 1533-position model. The record is from RNAcentral.